This is a non-coding RNA of Elaeis guineensis (African oil palm), 1253 nucleotides long. The record is from RefSeq and is a predicted model, not a curated record. Lineage: Eukaryota; Viridiplantae; Streptophyta; Magnoliopsida; Arecales; Arecaceae.
CAAAUAUUUGAGCCUUAUUGUUCUCUCUGUCAACACAUACAUCUUGGCCUUCUUCAUACUUUUGCUCUUCUUUUCAUAAUAACUUAAGCAAGUCACGAAUGUUCAUUGGAUUUCCUCUUUAUUGGUUUCGUUCUUUGGAGCUAAGCUCGAACCUCGUGUCACCGAUCGGCGGAGUUCUUCCUGGAGCAUCAUCUUUUACUAAAUCCCGAGUGCCUCGUCCUAGUUUUAGAUAAAGCUCGUGCUCCCAUGCAACUGGAGUUUGGAGCCCUAUGCUGCACGGCAGGUGUUCGAUAAAUUUACUUAUGUUACCCCCCACCAAAAAAAAAAAACUUUCUUCAUGUACCUCCUGUGACUAUGACGUUGGCAUCGCCCACCGGGCCACCCAACCCGCCGCAGCAGCUGGACCUCACGCUUGGAGAUCCUGGACGCUUCUUAACAACACGUGGCGCCCGGGUCCCCCGCUUCCUCCUCCUCGAGAGUUUCGCGCGCGCCACGCGAGACGAAUAUCCUCCUCCCCUCUCCCGGCAUCCGAUCUCCCUCCUCUCCCCUCUCACAUCGUACUCAACUCUUAGUGAGCGAGACCGCCUUGGCGGCUCCAACCCUGAGAGUGGAGGGCGUCCUCCGCCCUUGAAGCGUGCGCUUCCUCCACUCCCCCACCGAUCGCGGCGGCGCCAAAGCUAGCAGUAGCUCUUCGGGCUUCUCCUCUUCCUCCUAAGCUCUUCUCUUCCCCGUCUCCGUGUCGGCGGGCGUUGCGGCAGUCUCCGUCAGGGCUUCUUCCACCCCCUCCACCGACGAAGGACUAACGAUCAAAUCGGUCCCCACCAAGCCAAUCGAAGGUCAGAAGACCGGGACAAGCGGCCUCAGAAACAAGGUUAUGGUUUUUCAGCAGGAGAACUAUCUUGCGAACUGGAUUCAGGUAAUGACGAUUGAUUACGGUGAAUUCGGCAAUUUGGAAGUUGACGAUAGGAUCGAUGGUUUUUUUAAAUGGCAAAGGCGCUAUUUAAUUCUUUGCCGCCGGAGGACUACGAGGGUGGUGUGUUGGUCUUGGGAGGUGACGGUCGCUUAUUUAAUCGAGAGGCUGCUUAAUUAUAUUUGCCAUUUGCUUGAAAUGCUGGUUGUUUGUCGGAAGCUGUCAAUCUUUAAUCAUUCCUCAGUACCUGGACCUUUGCUUGAAUCCUAAAUUCCUGUUUUUUGGUUUCUGAUUGUAGGUUUCUUUUGGUUGUGUUUGAUGCAUUGCUAAGAAUAAUUUGAAU